RNAcentral lists this non-coding RNA (21 nucleotides) under Caenorhabditis elegans. The record is from RNAcentral. Lineage: Eukaryota; Metazoa; Nematoda; Chromadorea; Rhabditida; Rhabditidae.
UGAGUACAGCUCACAUUCAAA